GGUUCCUCUGAGCAUGGAACACAUCCAUGAAUCUGGCCCUGCCUUCAAACUUGCAUAAGAGACUACUCCGUGCCUGGAUGAGUUUUGUGGACUGUGGAACACAAUAGUAACUGGCCCUAGGGGCAUGCAGAGGAACACUGGAUUACCAGAAGAGAAGGUAAAGAUGAUUAAAUUUGCAAAGGAAGCGUGAAGGAGACAUUGACCAGUACAACAGGAUUUGAGCUUCUUUCAGCAAACAUUCCGAG
This 245-nucleotide long non-coding RNA is filed under the name Callithrix jacchus (white-tufted-ear marmoset). RNAcentral's name for it is "lncRNA (ENSCJAG00000072572.1)". Lineage: Eukaryota; Metazoa; Chordata; Mammalia; Primates; Cebidae. The record is from RNAcentral.